ACUUCUUUAAAUUGUACUUCCUUCAAGAGUUGGACAAGGGAAAAAAUUAAUAAUCCAUUGUUCCGGUUAAUAAUUAGGCUGAUCACCAUUAAACUCGGCCACCAAAGCCUGCAACUAUCAUGUGAGUACUACAACUUCAAUAUCAGCCUCAUAAUUACGAUAACAAUUAAGGUACUGAUCAGAUGAUAUACAUUAAUAUUGUCAUUAACAUUAUAUAUAUUUGCUAGUUUCCUUUUGAAUUUUAUUGGCCUUACUGCAUUAUGUUCAUACUUGACCUCUUCCCUUUCAAACUUCAGACUUCAGUACUGUACAGUCCUCCAAUCCCACAUGUCAAGCGAAAAUGGUGGCCCCCAUGAUGAAGAGCUGGGCGCUGAUCAGCAUGCACCCAUAUCAGAAACAGGUAGCCCUUCGAGGGAUCGCUGGAGCUAUGUUUUCUUGAUCCUACAGGCAUGCCAGAUUCUCGUCUCAAAGUGUCGAAAGAAAGUCGAAGGAGGUCACUUGCUCUUGCUGGAAUCUCUGCUGCUCCAUCUAAUCGUGUCCUGGAUCAGCACCUCUGACACAGGAAAUCAUGGGAGUAAUUCUCUUACAUAUCUCAACUAAACGAAUACAGAAAAAGAAAAAGAAAAAAAAUACCCCAUAAUUACUUAUAAUUUAUUUACAGGAUUCACGACCGAAUGGAAUUGUGAGAAUCUUACCUGCAUCCCCUCAAGUUUCUUUGAUAUCUUUUAUUUUUUCUAAAUUUCUCUCCCGUCAUUUUUUGGGUUUUUCUUUUUUAUUUUAUUUACUUUCAAAAACCUCUAUGGAAAUGGGUGAGUUGUUGGGUUAUAAUAGAUCAUCGUAUAGUUUUCAUUUAGGUUGUUUUUGGAAAUCUUAAAUGUGCAAAAUGAUUUGAUUUUGCUUUAAAAAUGUUAAAUGAGAAGUGAAAGAAAGUUUAAUGCAAGAUAAAACUAUUAUUAUUGUUGGUAUUUAAUUGUUAUUCAUGUGAUAGAAUUUACCGGAUUAUUGUGGUUGUGAAAAUUUUUUUUAUUGAAAUAUUGGUUAAUAUAUUUUUAUGAUUAUUGUUAUGUUAGAAAUUAUAUAAAUUUAUUGGUGAUAUAUUAGUGUUGAAAAUAAUGAAAAUUAUUUGUUGAAAAUUUCGAGUAUUGAGAUAUGUUUAAAAUGAUUGUUUUAAAAUUAUUAAUAUUAUUAAAAAUAAAUAAAUUGAUUAUAAAAAUUGAUAUUAUAUUAAUAUUUGAAUUAUUGGAAAAAAUUUCCCAAAUAUUUGUGGUGACUUAAUUGUGAAAAAUUNNNNNNNNNNNNNNNNNNNNNNNNNNNNNNNNNNNNNNNNNNNNNNNNNNNNNNNNNNNNNNNNNNNNNNNNNNNNNNNNNNNNNNNNNNNNNNNNNNNNUGAAUUAUUGGAAAAAAUUUCCCAAAUAUUGUGGUGACUUAAUUGUGAAAAAUUGUUGUAUUGAGUGCUAAUAUUAUUGAGAUUAUUGAAGAUAAAUAAAUUAUAACACAAAUUGCAUUUUGUUGAUAUUUAUAUUAGUGAGAAUUUUUUUGGAUAUAUACAUUGUUGGAAAUUAUUAAGUAUAUUGAGAAUAAAUAGAAUUUAUGUGGCUAAGAUUUAAAAUUAUGAUUUGAUGUUAUACAAAUUAAUUGUGAAUUUUCUUUGAUGUUUGUGGUGAUUAAAGUGAAGAAAAAUAGUUGUGUGGAUUGUUGAAAAUUAUGAAACAUAAUGGGAGUAAAUAUAAUUAUGUCCUGAAAAAUUAUGGAUGUUAAAAUAUGAUUUGAUUACACUUCAUAUGCAUCAUGGUUGUGUGAAGAGAAAAAAAAAAUUGAAGAAAUGGUUAUGUGAAACAGAAUGAGAAUGAAAAGACCUUGGAGAAGACAAAAAUGAAAGGAAAAAAGAAAUGAGAAAUGGAAGAACAAUGAGGGGUGAAUUAAGAUGGGAGUGAAAUCCCUAGAGUGAAAAACCCAAAAGUUUACCCUGGGAAGACUCCGAAUGGGGAGUGAAUUUGGGUAUGAACUCGUAUCCUUUAAUGAAAGUAAGAGAACAACAAUGCAUUGUGUGAUUGUGUGUAAGCAUUUGCAUCAUGUUGCAUUUGGAAGAAAGAUUAAUAUUAUUUAUCAAUUGGAUGUUUGAAUAUAUUAUUCGAGACUAAAAUAACUUAUUUAUUUUGUGAAUUUAGAAUUAUUGAUAUGCUAGGCAUAUGAUUGAAUAAGAGAAGCGAUAAUUUUGAUUGGUUUAAAUGUGUAUAGUUGUAGUUCAUUUAAUGUAUUUAAUAUAGAUGUAAUAUUAUAUUUUAACAUGCAAUUGUGUUUUAUUAACUUAGAAUUUUUAACCCAUUUAGGAUGUAAAACACCCUAUUAAGUAAUGUGGAAUUGCCCACUUCUUUAUUUUCUAAAAUUUUUAGAUGCAAGUAUGGUUUCUAAAGAAUUACAAGAAGAUCAAAAAGUGUUUCAGAAAGCCUCGAAAAGUAAAAGAACCAUGAUAUUAGUUGUUUUUCAUUUAUAGUACUUUUUUGAAAUGUACUCAUUUGAGUUAUAUGAACUUUUGUAACUUAAUUAUAUUUUGUUAGUUUAUAAAACAUUUUUGGAAAUAUUCUUUUGACUCAAAGAUUAUUGUAACUAUUUGGGUUAUCACCUUGUGUGGAAAAAGGAUAGGUGGAUUUAUUAUACUUGUGAACAGGAGAUGGUUGGUUUUAGAGAUAAAUAAAAUAAAAUAAAAUACUAUGAUAUAUUAAGUGUUAGCUUAGUAAAUUUAUUUAGGGUUGAUGUUGUUUUGUUGAAAAAUAAUAAUAAUAAAGUUAUCGGGACUGAUUGCCAGCUUGAAUAGGCAUAACCCUUAGGGUCAAACAUUUGACUUGAGGUUACAAGUCGAAUUCUAGGUUGUCGAGAAUCUGGGCAUGACAUGGAUGAAAAUAAAAGAAAGGAUUUUGAACAAGUUAUUGAGCAGAUGCAGUCCAAACACCUCAAAACCAUUGCAUUUGCUUACAAGAAGAUUGAUGGUCAAAGAGUUGAACCUAAGAACUUUAUCUUGAUAGCAUUACUGGGUCUUAGGGACGUGUGUUGGAGAUAGCGGAAGUUCUGAAAGCUUGUAGAAAUGUCGGGGUUAACAUCAAGCUAGUCUUAGCAGACUACGUCUUAGUGCUGGAAGCCACUAGCUACUCAGAAGUUUGGUUUACAUGUAACUAAUGCUCUAGUGCUUGAAGGUAAAGAUUUUCAUGACUGCUCCAACCAGGAGAGGAUGGAUAAGGCAGAAAAAAAUCUUGAUCAUGGGAAACGCCCUCCCUUUUGAUAGGCUCUUUUUAAUGGAGUGUUUGAAGCAAAAAGGCCACCUAGUAGUAGUGGUUGGAGGGCGAACACAUGAGACUCCAUCCCUAAAAGCAACUGAUGUAGGGGUCAAGCUAGGGACUUGGAGCCAUGGUUCAAAAUCUCAGUCGAUACCGAUAUGACUCGGCCGAGUCAUAUCCGCCUCGACCAUGGCCGGUAUCGGACCGAUACCUGAAUUGGAUAUUUUGUUAGCUUGUGAACAAACUCAGUGGAGUAGAAAUGGUGGAGAAGAUGAGAGGAUCAAAACCCAUGAAAAUGAAAAAUACAGAUUACAGAGAGUUAGAACCCUGCAUUUUGGAGUCGUCGGCAAGGUUGAAGAAGCACGCUUGGCAGAGUCGCUAGACUUUGGCACCGCUGUUGUCGACGGAGAAUGAUGAUGAGGUGGUUGAUGGAAGUGGGAGAAGAGAGAAAGCGGACGUGCAGAGGAGCUACUUGAGACUCGUGGGUUUAGAGGAGAAAGUAAUGGGUGUUUGACGGCCAUUUGAGGGUUAUGGGUAUAGAUGAGGAUUAAUAGUAUGUAUUUGUUUUAAGUAGAUAAUGAGUAUUUGGUGGGGAUUUGGAUUUUAAAUAAUUUGAUGAAAAUUAUAAUAAUAAAAAAUGAAUAAUGAAUAUUAGAAUUAUAUCAAAUAAAUAGGAAAUGAAUAUUUAUAUAAAAAUUAAAAUUAAUGAAUACAUUUUAUAAAAAAAAUUAUAUUUAUUUUUUUAAAGAUGCAUCAUGGUUUUAUUUUUUUAAUAAUUAAAAAUAUUUUAAAAAAAUUCAAAAUAUUUAAUUUAAACAUUUUUUUUGUAAAAAAAAUUACUUUUUAUUAUUUUCAUCUUCAAUAAGAAACAUUUAUUAUCAAGUGAUUAAAUUAAAAUAUUUUUAGAGAUUUUUAAUAUUAUUAUAAAUCAUCCUAAAAGUAUGCUUUUAUUAUAAUUUGAAUAAUUUUAAUAUAAUAAAAAUUUAUUUUAUUAAUUUUUUACUCUACUUAUUUGUAUUUAACUUUUGAAUAAUUUUCAUAAUUUUUAAAAAUUAUUUUAAGCUCUUAAAUUAGAUUUUUUGCUAUCAACCGAGAUCGAUGUGCCUCAAUACCUCCCAAGUCAAUGACCGAUAUCACGAUUUUAAACUAUGCCUGGAGCACCAAAAUUGCCAGAGACUUCUGACAUAGACGUCUUGNNNNNNNNNNNNNNNNNNNNNNNNNNNNNNNNNNNNNNNNNNNNNNNNNNNNNNNNNNNNNNNNNNNNNNNNNNNNNNNNNNNNNNNNNNNNNNNNNNNNGAGCACCAAAAUUGCCAGAGACUUCUGACAUAGACGUCUUGGAUCGAAACUUCAGUUUCUUGGUCAUCAUCAUGAAGCAUGGAAGAUGUGCUUAUAAGAAUGUUCAGAAGUACACCCAACUGGAGCUCACCAUGACUAUUGUAGGGCUCUCGAUUAGCUUCAUCACUACUUCAUCAUAUGGAGACUCUGAUUGUGGCAAUACCCGGGGGAAUUGCUCUGUUAAGAGAGCCACCAGCGAAGAAACUAAUGCGCUAGCAGCCAGUAGGACAUAGUGGAACACUGAUAACCAAGGCCAUGUGGAGAAACAUUAUCGCCCAGGCAUCAUAUCAGGUUGGCAUUUUAGUAAGCAUUCAAUGCAACGGAGCAGCUAUCCUGGGCACCAAUCUGGAGGUGGCUAAAUCCUUGGUGUUCAACAGUUAUGUUCUCUGCCAAGUAUUCAAUCUAUUCAAUUGCAGAAAGCUGGAGAAGAAGAACGUGUUCAAAGGCAUCCAUCGGAACUGCUGGUUUUGUGUUGCUGUGGGAGCUAUUUUGGAGUUGCAGGCCGUGUUUAUUGAGAUUGAACACAUCGUUGGUGGCAGUGCGAGGUUGAAUGGCGGGCAGUGGGGCAUAUGCUUUCUCAUUGGGAUGGCUUCAUGGGUCAUAGAUUGGGCUACCAAGUGGGCAUCAGGUUUCAUCACAGACUAGAUUGGACCCAGUCCGCACCGCACACAGCGGCUGCAAGGCUAGCAGUUGUGCUGUUGUGUGUGUCUGUACUCUGUAGCCCAAAUGCAAUCAAUCAUAAUGAGUAAUUUUCAGAGCUAAAGCCAAUUCUAAAUGGCUUCUAAACAGAGCAAUAAUUCAAUUGAAUAUUGAUGAAACAGUUAGGGGGUGGAACUUGGGAGUUGUAGUUGCAGAGAAAUCUGCAAGUCAAGCUGCUUGUACUAGUCUAUACAUUCCACACGUGGAAUAGGGAUAGACCAGAUGGAUCGCACGCGGGUUUGUUAUCUCUAUAACGCGCUGUUCAAAUACAAAACGACACCAAUUUGAUCCUUUUGGUUCAUAGUCCAUCAAUAAUAAUAAUAUUAUUAUUAUUUUUAGAGUCAUCCCACCAUUUAUUUUGGUUAAAACUAUAUAUACCUACAUUUAAUCAUAGCUAUACCAUAUACUAAUAUGUUGCAUGAUCAAUUUUGUUUCACAGUUAAAAACCAUAGAAUUUGGACCCAUAAUGCAUAUUAUCCUCCGAUAGAAUCAAUGGAAGAUUUUUCCAGAUUGAUGGUUGAGCUUGAUUAUCCGCCCACAACCGCUCUGUCUAUGGCAACUGAGAAUCUUUUAAUUAAUUGCAGAGCACUUUGCUUUGCUCUGCCAGAAGUGGGACAAAUAUCACUCAGCAGAAACUAUAUUAUUUGUUGUACCAAGAGAAUGGAGGAAUCGGGAUACAACACACAUAAUGUAGUUUGUGUUUGGGCCUGGCUUUUAAGUAAUGUUGGAGAAAUUGAAUGACCAAGAAAGAAUAUGUAUUCGGCAAAUGGUGAAAUACUUGGAACAUGGGAAGAAGGUUCACCCUUAUUUUCCACCUUGGUGAGGUUCCAGGAAAUGGGAAACCGCCGCGUUAUCACAACCGCGUUCCCCGAGCACCCAUGGUUACGAAUGGGGCCAUGAGCCAUGUGGACCAAUUGUUGAGGCAGAGGCAGAGAUGUGUUGCCUUCUAAACUACGCUGCGACGGGUCUCUCCGGCUUUUCUUGGUACCAUAUGUCGAACAAGUGGCUUCCCCUAUACAUAGCUCGACCGUACCUCCUCUACAUUCAUCCAUUUCUCCGGAGUUCUUCAGGCUAAUCAGCAUCAAACUCAGCCACCAACACCGGGCAGCUACCACUUCAUCAGUAUAAAGACUAAGGUAAUCAGAUCCUAUACAGUACUAUCAUUAACACCAUAUCUGCCGGUUUUCUUUUGAAUUUUACUGCCAGUACUAACACUAUGAUGAUGCUUAAGCUCUUCCUCUCGCCGACAACCCAGAUGUCAAGCAAAAGUUGUGUCUCCGAUGGUGAUGAGGACCUGGAGGCUCAACUUUCACCCUCAACCGCAGCUGGUAACCCUUGCAGGAAUCGAUGGCGCAGUAUUUUCUUGAAGCUACAGGCACAUCAGAUUUUCAUUUCAAUAUUAAGUGAUCCAAGGAGGUCCAUUUCUCUGGCUGAUAUCUCUUCAGCUUCAUUUUACGCCCCCGUCCGCAGCUCUGAUGGAGACGAUUAUGAAGUAAGUUCCUCAUUUCAGUAGCACAAUAUAAUUACUACCAAUCGGUUCAACCGUUCAUCAGUCAUGUCUUCGUGAAGUUCCUGUUUUUGAAUCGCCGCUACGGUCCGACCAUUCUUUUUUAACUGGUGACGGUUUCUCCGGUGAAACACUUUCCUCCUCCUCCUUCUUCUUCUUCCCUUUUUAUUAUUAUUAUUAUUAUUUACUUUUUUGACUUUUUUGUGUGGACAUGGACGAUAGCGAAUCUCGUUUUUUUUUUUUUUUUUUUUUUUUUUUUUAAUUUUUUUUAAUUUUUUUUUUAAAUUUUUUUAAUUUUUUCAUUCUACUUGUAUAUUUAUUUUUUGAAUGAGAUAUUCCGUUGAAACACAAAAAAAAAAAAAAUUUCCCAUUUUGAAUUAUUUUGACUCUUAUUUAUUUACUAAAAAAUGAAAGAAAUAUUUAAUUAAAAGAUUUAAAUACUGUUGAAAUUAAAAAUUGAACUCCUUUAAUCAUUUUUUUUUUUAAAUUUUGACUUAUUGUUCUUUACAUUGACAAUAGCGAAUCUUUUUUUUUUUUUUUUUUUGAUUAUUUUAUUUUAUUUUAUUUUAUUCUACCUUGUCUUUUUAUUUUUUGAAUGAGGUUUUGGUUGAAACACAAAAAAAUUCCCAUUUUGAAUUAUUUUUACUCUUAUUUAUUUACUGAAAAAUGAAAGAGAUAUUUUAUUAAAAGAUUUAAAAUACUCUUGAAAUUUAAAAUUGAGCUCCUUUAAUCAUUCUUUAAAAAAGAAGAAGAAUUUUUUUUGACUUUUUUGUUCUUUACAUUGACAUCUCUUUUUUAAUUUUUAAUUUUUUAUUCUACCUUAUAUAUUUAUUUUUUGAAUGAGAUAUUUGAUUGAAACACAAAAAAAAAUUCACAUUUUGAAUUAUUUUUACUCUUAUUUAUUUACUAAAAAAUGAAAGAAAUAUUUGAUUAAAAGAUUUAAAAUACUCUUGAAAUUAAAAAUUGAGCUCCUUUAAUCAUUCUUAAAAAAAAAAAAAAAAAAAAAGUGGGUUCUACCUCAUUAAUUUUAAAAUAUUUAAAAAAAAUCCAAAUUUUAUAAAUCAGUUUUAUCUUUAUCAAUUUAAAAUAUAUAUAUAUAUAUAUAUAUUUACAUUUAUAUAAUUAUUUUCUAAAAUAAGCUUUUAACAUAAUAAUAUUAAUUAAAAUUAUUUAAAAAAUAAUAAUUUAUCCUUUUAAGUUAAUAAAAGCAUCUUACAAAUAAAUAUAUCAUAAAUUUUUAUUAUAUGAUAUGGGGAACCAUACCAAUCAUUGUGAAAAAAUUAUAUAGGGUCUUUAAGUGAUAAAUAAAAUCAAAGUUGAACUCCUUUAAUCAUACUUAAAAAAAAAUCAUUAUUAUUAUUAUUUUUACCUUUUUUGUUCUUUACAACCACGAUAGCCAAUCUUAUUCUUUUUUUUUUUUUUUUUCAUUCUACGUUGUAUAUUUAAUUUUUGAAUGAGAUAUUUGGUUGAAACAGAAAGAAAUUUCCCAUUUUGAAUUAUUUUUACUCUUAUUAAUUUACUAAAAAAUGAAAGAAACAUUUGAUUAAAAGAUUUAAAAUACUCUUGAAAUUAAAAUUUGAGCUCCUUUAAUCAUUCUUAAAAUAAAAAAAAAAUUGGUUUUGCCUCAUUAAUUUAUAAUAUAUAAAAAAAACUCAAAUUUUAUAAAUAAAUUUUAUCUUUAUCAAUUUAAAAUAUAUAUAUUUUCAUAAUUUAGAUAAUUAUUUUCUAAAAUAACCCUUUCACAAAUAAUAUUAACGAAAAUUAUUAAAAAAAAUAAUUUAUCACUUUAAGUUAAUAAAAAUAUCUUACAAAUAAACAUAUCAUAAAUUUUUAUUAUAUGAUACAGGGUACCAUACCAAUUAUUGUGAAAAAAUUAUGUAGGAUCUUUAAGUGAAAUAAAAUCUUUUCUUAUAUUCUAGUUAAUAAUGAUUUUAUAUUUUACAUUAUAUAAAUCUUUUCAUCUUCCUAUAUUUUUUUAAUAAAAUUAAAUAAAUUUUUAUUAGUUGACAUCAACAAUAAAAUAUUUUUUUUUUAAAAAAGUUAAAGAGCUAAAAAUAUAAAAAUAAAAUUUUGACUUUCACUUUGUUAAAAAUAUAGAUAUUCAAUAGGAUUCAAUAUUUUUUUUUAAUUUUUUUUUUUGUUUCAAUUAUAUUUAUUUUUUAAAUAUUUUAGUUUUAAUUAUAUUUUUAUUUUUAAAAUUUUUUAUUUUAUUAUUGUUCAAUAUUUAUAAGGAGGUUUGUUUGAGGAGAGAAAAACAUUCUAAAGAGUUACAAAAAACAAAACUAAAAGGAAGAUUAGUUUUUUUACAAUUAAGCAUCUUUGUGUUUAUUUCAGUCAUUUAAGGUAAUAAUUAUUUGAACUAUGAAAAAAUACAUGUAUUUUAAAACAUUUUUAAAUGGAUGAAGAUAAAACUAAUAUAUAAAAUUUGAUUUUUUUUUCUAUAUAUUUUUUCAAAUUUUAAAUUAUUAUCCUUUUUGGAGAUUUUUACCCUUUUUUGUUUCCUCACAAAUGUCAUUUUCCUCUUAUUCCUAAUUCNNNNNNNNNNNNNNNNNNNNNNNNNNNNNNNNNNNNNNNNNNNNNNNNNNNNNNNNNNNNNNNNNNNNNNNNNNNNNNNNNNNNNNNNNNNNNNNNNNNNAAUUCAUUUCCUUCCUAUUUUUGAUAUAUAGUUAACUCUCCAAGUCUCUCAAGGGAUAAAGAUCUACCACAAUUCUUAUAUCUCUCUCUUUUUUCUUUUUUUUUCUUAUUAAGGAUGAUCAUAUUUUUCAUCUUUCUCUUCAUUUUUAGUUGAGGUUUUUGUUGUAUAUUUUUUUAGUUGUUUUUUCUUAGGGUUUUUUUUUGUAAUUAUUUUUUGUUCGAGUUUUUUGUCGGAAUUUUUUGCUAUUGUUUUUGUCUAGGAUUUUUAAAGCUAUUUUUAGCUGAGAUUUUCUGUAUUUAUUUGUUUUGUUAGAGUUUGUAAUUCUUUUGUUGGGCCUUUUAGCAUUGUUUUUUGUUAGGGUUUUCAGUAAAAGGAUUGAUAUAAAUAUAAAUUACUAGAAGAAUAUUAUCCUAACACAAAUCUUCUAAAAUUCUUAAAAUUAAAAGACUUAUAAUAAUAUAAAAUUUUGAUAUGACAUUUGAAGCUAUAAUUUUUUGCUCCAAUAGAUAGAUCCACUUGCACUUCUUCUACACACACAUACAUUCAUAAACUAUACCCUUAAUAAUAUUUUUAAAUAAAUUGUAAAUUUCAAAUAUUUUUUAAUUAUGUAAUUAUUUAAUAUAAGUUUAUAAUAUUUUAAAAUUUUAAUUAUAAUAUAAAUACAUAUUAAGACUAAAAUAAUUGAGGAUGAUUUUGCAUUUAAUAUCAUAAAAUAAAUACUAUUGGUUAAGAAUUUGAGUUAUUUAUUUUACAAAGUUAUAAGAAGUGAGUUUUCAUCUCAAGAUCAUUUUUCUAUUUUUAUAAGAAGAAUAUUUGAUUAUUGUAUGUUAUAUUUUUAUCCAUUAAUAAUACAAAAAAAAAUAUAUUUUUUCCUAUAUCUAAAUCUUAGAAAUUUUACACAAAUAAAAUAAAAGUAAAAAAAUAAAAAAUAAAUAAAAAUAAUAAUCCAAGUGCAGAAAAUGAAAAUAGGGAACUACGAAUGUGACAUAGAUAUUAAGAUUAAAAAAAAAAGUAAUUUAAAUACGAAAAAUGUAACAUGGGUACUAAUGUAUAGAAAAAUGCAAUCUAAUAACAAAAAAAAUGUCUUAGGUAACACAAAUAAUAUAAUCUUGGUGCUAAGCUAUAAGAAGUGACCUAGAUAUAGAGUUUUAUUUUAUUUUUAUAAUUAUUUUUAAUUUCAAUAAUAUAUUUAUGAUUUUAUAUACUACGGUUCCACCGGUCUAAUGAUCAUCCCUUCCUGAAAACAAUUUAAGGACAACUCAUAGGUGAAAAAAAGCAUUCACCUCACAGCCAUAGUAGUUGUCUCUCAUCAGUCAUCACCAGCAGCUGCUGCCGCUCCUCUUCACUGUCACUGCCACCCUUGCACUGUCCCUUCUCCAAGCUGUCAUUGGACAUGUUCAUCUCAUUCUUCUUGCUCCCAAACAAAAAUGGUGCCGGAAGUGCCAGGUUAAAUUUUGAGUGGCUCUAUACAAUUGUUUUGUUAUGCUGUGUUUAGGUGUUCACUGUGGGUGUGGUUAGUUCUGCGAGAGAGAAGGGUUGGGCUGUUUGGUUAUUGGUGCACAACAUAAAAACAAUUUUAGAAGGAUUGUCCAAUGGAUUGAAUUGAAACUGAGCAGACUUUAAAAGCUCCCUUAACUCAACCCCACAUGGAACGAACACCGCCAACCCUCUACCACCCUAUUCCUUUAUAAUGUGCUGCCUACCAUUUUGCAGGACUCAGAGCCAAAUGGGACUGUGGGAAUCUUGCCUCCAUCACCUCAAGUCUCUCUAGAUAUCCCGUCUGAUGCGGGUGAUGUCCGCAGUAGCACUAAUGCAAAUCUCCAACAUGCCAACAUUGCCACAAUUGUUAAGAACAAGGAUUUGGAUUCCCUAAUUAAGUUUGGCGGUGUCCCAGGGAUUGCAGAGGCUCUUCACACCGACUUAGAGAAGGGGAUCCCAGGUGACGAGCAGGAUCUUCAUCUUCGACGCUUAGCCAGCCCAAUCUCAAAAACAGAGCCAUCACCAACCUUCUUUCAGUGCCUCUUAAAAGCUUGCAACAGCUACAUCAUUUUCCUCCUUUUGUUGUCGAUGGCGUUGUACCUCGGCUUUGGGAUCAAGAAGGAAGGCCUAGAGACUGGUUGGUACGAAGGAUUCAUUAUACUUGUUGCCAUCAUCAUAAUCGUUGUGUGUCAUUCAAUUCGUGAUUUCUGGCGUGAAACCCAACAUAGGUCGUCAGGAAAACACGAGCUCUCAGAAAAGAUGGAAACAGUGGUCGAAGUUUUAAGAGAGGGAUCCCAGAAGAAACUCUCCUCCACCUCUGACAUAGUGUUGGGUGACAUACUAUGUAUCAAAAGGGGAUAUCUUGUUCCGGCUGAUGGUUUACUUGUACCAGGGGAAGCAUUAGAACUGGAUGAUCAAUCAGAGUCCAUCAUUCAUGACCGAAACCCAUUUAUGUUUUAUGGUGCAAAAGUGAUUAGCGGAAAUGGUCGCAUGCUUGUCACAUCAGUUGGCAUGAACACAGAGUGGGGUGAGAUGAUGAGGAAAGUAAUCCAAGCUCCUAAUAAGACACCUUUACAAGCUCAACUAGACAAGGUGAACACUUGGACAGAAAUUUUUGGGCUUCUCAUCUCUAUCCUCAUUAUUGUAGUGCUAUUCCUGCGCCUUACACUUGAAAAUGAAGAUGAUAUGCCGGGGCUCCCAUCGUUGAAGGGAAAACCAUCCACAAUCAAGGACUUGAUGGAUGCGGUCAAGAGGAUUAUUGUGAAACCAACAGGGCAGCUAAGUAUGUUGAUAACCUNNNNNNNNNNNNNNNNNNNNNNNNNNNNNNNNNNNNNNNNNNNNNNNNNNNNNNNNNNNNNNNNNNNNNNNNNNNNNNNNNNNNNNNNNNNNNNNNNNNNUAAUAGAAGGAUAUCCUCUUGUUAUCAUCGUUUCACUCGCAUAUGGGAAUAAGAAAGCACUGUCUGGAAAUGCCCUUGUUAAGGAAUUAUCAGCUUGUGCAAUCUUGGGAUCAGCAACAGCCAUCUGCACUGACAAAAUUGGGGGGCUAACAACGAGCACAGUACAAGUGAAAACCUGCAGGAUUGGUGGAGAAGAUAUCAAUGGCGACUCUGUCAUACAUCCAGAUGUAAUUGAUGCUCUGUGUUAUGGUAUCUACGCACUAGUUCUGGACCAAGAGAAUCCUUGUGGCUUAGAAGAGGAAGAGGUUGUUUCCUGGGCUAAAUCCAGGUUAGGCAUGAAGCAAGAUAUUUUAAAGCAGAGUUGCACCUUUGUUGGGGCUGAAGAAUUGAACUCCAAUGAGGGAGGAAGUCAAGUGUUGCUGAGGAAGACCCGGGGCAAUGAAACAGUUGAGUGCUUGCACUGGAAAGGCCCUGCAACAACUAUACUGACCCAGUGUUCAUCCUACUAUGACAGUGAAGGGAAAAAAAAGGACAUGGGAGAGAAGAGGAUGGAUUUUGAAAAAUUUAUCCAGCAGAUGCAGUCCAAAAAACUCAAAACCAUGGCAUUUGCCUACAAGGAAAUUAAUGACUCAAGUGAAGAAAACAGCUUAAUCUUGAUAGGACUAUUGAGUCUGAGGGACACAGAUUGGACAGAGACAAAAGAAGCUGUGCAAGCUUGUAGAAAUGCUGGGGUUAAUAUCAAGAUGGUCUCAAGUGACAACAUUUCAGAGCUGCGAGACAUGGCUGUUCAGUGUGGUAUGUCUGACCCCAAUUCUCUGGUUCUUGAUGGUAAUGCAUUUCGGAAUUACACCGAGGAAGAGAGGAUGGAUAGGGUAGAUCGAAUCUCCAUCAUGGGAAACGCCCUUCCCUCUGACAAGCUUCUUUUAGUGGAGUGUUUGAAGCAAAAGGGUCACACGGUAGCUGUCAUUGGAGCCAGGACAGAUGAGACUCCAGCCAUAAGACAAGCUGAUGUAGGGGUGACAAUGGGGACGUGGAGCACCAAAAUGGCCAAAGAGACUUCUGAUAUCGUCAUCUUUGACGGCAAUUUUAGUUCCCUUGUGACCAUCAUGAGGCACGGAAGGUGUGCAUAUGAAAACGUCCAAAAGUACAUGCAGCAUGAGCUCACCAUGGUCAUCGCAGGGUUGCUGGUAACCUUCAUCACCAUGGGGCAUUCGGGGGAUGCCCCAAUAACUGCAAUUCAACUCGCCUUCGGGAGUGUGAUUGUGGGCAUCCCGGGGGGAUUGGCUCUGUUGACAGAGCCACCAGCGGAGAAACUAAUAGGCAAGCAACCAGUAGGACAAGGUGGAACACUGAUAACCUGGGCCAUGUGGAGAAACAUAAUCACUCAAGCCUCAUACCAGGUUGCCAUUUUAGUGACAAUCCAAUUCAAGGGGAAGGUCAUCCUAGGCAUCAGCCCCAAGGUCAAUAAGUCCUUGGUGUUCAACAGUUUUGUUCUCUGCCAGGUUUUCAAUCUAUUCAAUUGCAGAAAGAUGGAGAAGAAGAACAUGUUCCAGGGCAUCAAGAAGAACCUCUGGUUUUGGGUGGCUGUGGCAGCUAUUAUGGGGUUGCAGGCAGCCUUCAUUGAGAUAGAGCAUUGGGUUGGGGGCAGUGCGAGGCUGAACUGUGCACAAUGGGGCACAUGCCUUCUCAUUGGAAUGGUUUCAUGGGUCAUAGAUUAUAUCGGGAAAUUCGCUUCUGAUCUCAUCACACAUUGUAUUGGAUCCAUUUCACGCUACACAUGGGUGUGAGAGAAAGUUUUCACAGGUAUUCCCCAAUCUAAAUUCUAUCAAUAAAAACAAUUUUGCAGAACCAAGCCUAGAAACAAUUCACAGUACUACAAAAAAAAUGAAAAUGAAAAUAAAAUGAUCCUACUAACCUGAUCAUGAUCGUUUUGCAGAGCCUCCCGAGACAUAACCAAGAACGAUUGUUGAAGAAAAAGAAGGUCAAUUGCAGAUGUACAGAGGAAGUCAAGCUUUUCGACUCGUUUAUAUUCGAAUCAUACAGCUCAUGCCAACCGAGACGCCGUGUCCUUGGGAACCGCGUCAUAAGUCUUAGUCAGUGGAACCUACGUCGAACGCGUCUCGCCUUCCCCCAAAAGAAACGCUUCUCUUGACGUUGAAACUUGGAACCACAUUUUCUUGAAAUAAUCUUAGAAUAGUUUAUUUGAACCGCGUUGGAACAGUCUUCAUCAAAUCAUCUACAAUUAUUAUUAUUAUUAUAUUUUUCUAAUUUUCUUUGACCCCCAGCAUUUUGCAUUUAAUAUACACUUACCACUUUCUAAUAUACAAAAUUAUCUUCAAGCAUCAAUUAAUAAUAGUUUAAUAUAUAUAUAU
RNAcentral lists this long non-coding RNA (14696 nucleotides) under Vitis vinifera (wine grape). RNAcentral's name for it is "long non-coding RNA (VVIN_LNC007737)". Lineage: Eukaryota; Viridiplantae; Streptophyta; Magnoliopsida; Vitales; Vitaceae. The record is from RNAcentral.